RNAcentral lists this ribosomal RNA (501 nucleotides) under uncultured Desulfosporosinus sp. RNAcentral describes it as "bacterial SSU rRNA". It matches the Rfam family "Bacterial small subunit ribosomal RNA", at positions 407 to 897 of the family's 1533-position model. Lineage: Bacteria; Bacillati; Bacillota; Clostridia; Eubacteriales; Desulfitobacteriaceae. The record is from RNAcentral.
GAUGAAGGUCUUCGGAUUGUAAAGUAUUGUCUUUAGGGAAGAACGGUUCUCUUGAAAAUAUUGAGAGAACAUGACGGUACCUAAGGAGGAAGCCCCGGCUAACUACGUGCCAGCAGCCGCGGUAAUACGUAGGGGGCAAGCGUUGUCCGGAAUUAUUGGGCGUAAAGGGCGCGUAGGCGGAUAAUUAAGUCCGGUGUGAAAGAUCAGGGCUCAACCCUGAGAGUGCAUCGGAAACUGGUUAUCUUGAGGACAGGAGAGGAAAGUGGAAUUCCACGUGUAGCGGUGAAAUGCGUAAAUAUGUGGAGGAACACCAGUGGCGAAGGCGACUUUCUGGACUGUAACUGACGCUGAGGCGCGAAAGCGUGGGGAGCAAACAGGAUUAAAUACCCUGGUAGUCCACGCCGUAAACGAUGAGUGCUAGGUGUAGAGGGUAUCGACCCCUUCUGUGCCGCAGUUAACACAAUAAGCACUCCGCCUGGGGAGUACGGCCCGCAAGGUUGA